RNAcentral lists this small RNA (481 nucleotides) under Histoplasma ohiense. Its description in RNAcentral is "hypothetical lncRNA". Lineage: Eukaryota; Fungi; Ascomycota; Eurotiomycetes; Onygenales; Ajellomycetaceae. The record is from RNAcentral.
CAUCCCUACAUUCUACUGCCUUGAUAUUUUGAUCCUUCUAUCUGAAUCCCCUUCCGAUAUAACACUGUAUUAUCUUAUGUAGCUCUAUCCCUGUAGAGUUCUAAGGACCUCCCCUAGAUAAGCAGCGAGAUCCUCGACCCGCCGCUUACGAGAACCCAAUCAAUCCCAUUAUCGUGUUGGCCCCAGGCUAUCUAUUACGGACUGGUGCUGUCUACAUGUUAAUACAACCACUCAGACAUCCCACAUAAAGAGAUCACCUAUCCACCAAUUUCAGAUAUUAAUAUAGAGAUGUAAGUUAUAUCUAGAAAUUAUACACAGACUUUAAAGUAACUAGAAAUAAUAUCUAUCUAUCUAUCUACUACUCUGUUAGAAAAGAAAAAGAAGAAUAUUUCUACUUUUAGUGACUCAGGAAGUGGUGAAAUACGUUACUCUUUUGAAAGAGUUAUUGGAAUAAAACCUGUCUGGACUUUUACACGCCCAA